This 75-nucleotide transfer RNA is filed under the name Deltaproteobacteria bacterium. Its description in RNAcentral is "tRNA-Glu". It matches the Rfam family "tRNA". Rfam says of the family: Transfer RNA (tRNA) molecules are approximately 80 nucleotides in length. RNAcentral also lists the same sequence under 1 other name. Lineage: Bacteria; Pseudomonadati; Myxococcota; Myxococcia. The record is from RNAcentral.
GGUCCCAUCGUCUAGCGGUUAGGACGCUGGCCUCUCACGCCGGAAACCCGGGUUCGAACCCCGGUGGGACUACCA